UCCUGACAACAGAAACAGCAUUCUGUUUGUUUGUUUGCGCACGGGUCAGCUCAAGCCAACUGUUACUUUCUAUUCCGCUGAUGACGGCGAUUGCUACAGCAGUCGUAACAGUGAAGUCGCUCAGACAACGAUGCUUUCAGUUUUCAUUGCUUUUUCUACCUAGAGCCAUUACGCAGAAGCGCGAGUCACGUCCUCUGAUCGUACUGAGAUUUGUACCGUAACGCCGAACUGGCGACCAAAUAGGCAAAAUAGAUUGCUUUUAAGACUAUGGAUACUCAGAGAAACUUAACUGUUAACAGAAAAACACGACAACAUGUAUAAUUUUGCGGCAUUGUUCUGAAGGGAUAGUCUUCACCCGUUCAUAUAGGGUGCAUGCCGGUAUACGUGAUGAGGAUGUCAUCAGGUAGAAUCGAUUUCGAUGUACACUCAGGCGGCAGAGAGGCGGACGAAUAUGGAAAAAAUACAGCACAUGAUUCUCAGGAAAACUACACCUAUCGAGUGCAUCCGAACCUGCGACUAAUGUAGGCCGUCAAUCAACAGACGCCGACGGUUCGCGUAACUAUUCCACCGUUAAAUAUACAUACGAUGCGUAUCGACUGACAAAUGAGAGCGGCCUAGAGCUUAAUCAUAUCAAACUAGUACCUGCGCGCCAUAAUUAGAUAAGGCAUUGAAGGCCAGCGGCAGAAAUCACUACGCUAUAAACAAAGAUAUUGAAUAUCGCUCAAAGGAAGAGACUAAAGGCGGGUGCAUGUUCCCCUGCAGCAAAAAUGCGUCAUCAAAUUACGCCAAAGAGAUUUACAUCAUGUAUGUCAGCUUUCUGUACAGAGUAUUUAGUCGUGGGCUGGGUCAGACGCAGAGUCUAAGAUGUUUCGUCGUGGAUUUGAGGAAACGGAACCCGGCAAUAGCGUGAGUUACGCAUUGGUCACCGAUCGCCACCGCUACCCACUGAACAACCGAAAUUGGCCUUGUUAACAUGAAACUACUGUCCCGUCAUCAUGUAAACACCAUUAUGAGAACUGUGCGAAUAUUUAAGCCACUUCUUUAAUAAGCAGUUGUUUACACCUCCUGGAGACCUGAGAGUCUAUGCAAGAGUCGUUGUUUCAGUAAAAGACCUAACAGCCAAUAGGGGCGGAAGGACUUGUUGAACAAAGAUGUUGCUUAGCAAAAACGCACGAGCAACUCUUCAGUGCAUACGUUUAACAAACUCUAUGUGAGUGUCAGGCAAUCGUUUUUCUAGCCAUGAUCCUGAGACCGGCAUAGGAUCUGAUCUAGAAAAGGCCGCAUAGGCGGUCGAAAACACAAUAAGGCUAUUUAUCUUGUGAAGCCAAGCCAGUUAACUGAAGUGAGCGUCAAUAUCGUUUUCAAGACGAAAUACAUCUAGGCGUAAAAAACGUCUUUGGGAUAGGACGGGCAACGGCUCAGACCAUUGUUUAUCUCACAGAAUCCGAGAACUCUAUGAACACUAACAAAAUAAAGAUUUCGAAAAUGUAGAGUAUCGAUAGGACCGCUUAGGGUGGCAUCCAACCAUAUUAAUCGCAAACGCCAUUCUGCACGAUUUCCCGCCUCGCAUUAGGUGAGAGUAUAUAACUCAAAUGAUAAAUCAGACGAAACGAAGGUGCAAGUACUUGCAGGAAUUUUAUAGAUGAAAGGUCUCCACACAUUAUCGCUAUGUCAAGCUACUGCUGUACUCUUCUGGAACGAACACUCCGAACACACCAGGCAUCACCUCAAUCUCCGA
This 1738-nucleotide long non-coding RNA is filed under the name Varroa destructor (honeybee mite). Its description in RNAcentral is "uncharacterized LOC111251099". Lineage: Eukaryota; Metazoa; Arthropoda; Arachnida; Mesostigmata; Varroidae. The record is from RNAcentral.